GCGAGUGGAUCCCUUCGGGGUGAAGCUCGUGGAACGAGCGGCGGACGGGUGAGUAACACGUGGGCAACCUGCCUGUAAGAUCGGAAUAACCCCGGGAAACCGGGGCUAAUGCCGGGUAAUACUUUCUUUCGCAUGAAGGAAAGUUGAAAGAUGGCUUCUCGCUAUCACUUACAGAUGGGCCCGCGGCGCAUUAGCUAGUUGGUGAGGUAACGGCUCACCAAGGCGACGAUGCGUAGCCGACCUGAGAGGGUGAUCGGCCACACUGGGACUGAGACACGGCCCAGACUCCUACGGGAGGCAGCAGUAGGGAAUCUUCCGCAAUGGACGAAAGUCUGACGGAGCAACGCCGCGUGAACGAUGAAGGUCUUCGGAUCGUAAAGUUCUGUUGUUAGGGAAGAACAAGUACCGUGCGAAUAGAGCGGUACCUUGACGGUACCUAACGAGGAAGCCCCGGCUAACUACGUGCCAGCAGCCGCGGUAAUACGUAGGGGGCAAGCGUUGUCCGGAAUUAUUGGGCGUAAAGCGCGCGCAGGCGGUUCCUUAAGUCUGAUGUGAAAGCCCACGGCUCAACCGUGGAGGGUCAUUGGAAACUGGGGAACUUGAGGACAGAAGAGGAGAGUGGAAUUCCACGUGUAGCGGUGAAAUGCGUAGAUAUGUGGAGGAACACCAGUGGCGAAGGCGACUCUCUGGUCUGUUUCUGACGCUGAGGUGCGAAAGCGUGGGUAGCAAACAGGAUUAGAUACCCUGGUAGUCCACGCCGUAAACGAUGAGUGCUAGGUGUUAGGGGGCUUCCACCCCUUAGUGCUGA
RNAcentral lists this ribosomal RNA (808 nucleotides) under Halobacillus trueperi. RNAcentral's name for it is "bacterial SSU rRNA". It matches the Rfam family "Bacterial small subunit ribosomal RNA", at positions 57 to 849 of the family's 1533-position model. The record is from RNAcentral. Lineage: Bacteria; Bacillati; Bacillota; Bacilli; Caryophanales; Bacillaceae.